AACGUAAGACCAACCUGCCGAAAGACCGGGACAACGUUUCGAAAGAGGCGCUAAUACCGGAUGUGACCUGCGGAUGACAUCAUUUGCAGAUUAAAUCAUUUAUGGCUUUCGGAGGGGCUUGCGGCCUAUCAGCUAGAUGGUGGGGUAAUGGCCUACCAUGGCGACGACGGGUAGCUGGUCUGAGAGGAUGGUCAGCCGGAUUGGGACUGAGAUACGGCCCAG
This 222-nucleotide ribosomal RNA is filed under the name uncultured bacterium. RNAcentral describes it as "partial 16S ribosomal RNA". It matches the Rfam family "Bacterial small subunit ribosomal RNA", at positions 113 to 334 of the family's 1533-position model. The record is from RNAcentral.